UGGGGAAUAUUGCACAAUGGGCGCAAGCCUGAUGCAGCCAUGCCGCGUGUAUGAAGAAGGCCUUCGGGUUGUAAAGUACUUUCAGCGGGGAGGAAGGGAGUAACGUUAAUACCUUUACUCAUUGACGUUACCCGCAGAAGAAGCACCGGCUAACUCCGUGCCAGCAGCCGCGGCAAUACGGAGGGUGCAAGCGUUAAUCGGAAUUACUGGGCGUAAAGCGCACGCAGGCGGUCUGUCAAGUCGGAUGUGAAAUCCCCGGGCUCAACCUGGGAACUGCAUCUGAUACUGGCAAGCUUGAGUCUCGUAGAGGGGGGUAGAAUUCCAGGUGUGGCGGUGAAAUGCGUAGAGAUCUGGAGGAAUACCGGUGGCGAAGGCGGCCCCCUGGACGAAGACUGACGCUCAGGUGCGAAAGCGUGGGGAGCAAACAGG
This 429-nucleotide ribosomal RNA is filed under the name Chloroflexota bacterium. RNAcentral's name for it is "Chloroflexi bacterium partial 16S ribosomal RNA". It matches the Rfam family "Bacterial small subunit ribosomal RNA", at positions 355 to 776 of the family's 1533-position model. Lineage: Bacteria; Bacillati; Chloroflexota. The record is from RNAcentral.